RNAcentral lists this ribosomal RNA (220 nucleotides) under uncultured bacterium. Its description in RNAcentral is "partial 16S ribosomal RNA". It matches the Rfam family "Bacterial small subunit ribosomal RNA", at positions 524 to 743 of the family's 1533-position model. The record is from RNAcentral.
UACAGAGGUCCCAAGCGUUGUCCGGAUUUAUUGGGCGUAAAGAGCGUGUAGGCGGUUUGGUAGGUCCGCUGUGAAAACUCGAGGCUCAACCUCGAGACGCCGGUGGAAACCAUCAGGCUAGAGUCCGGAAGAGGAGAGUGGAAUUCCUGGUGUAGCGGUGAAAUGCGCAGAUAUCAGGAGGAACACCGGUGGCGAAGGCGGGUCUCUGGGCCGAUACUGA